RNAcentral lists this ribosomal RNA (253 nucleotides) under uncultured bacterium. Its description in RNAcentral is "partial 16S ribosomal RNA". It matches the Rfam family "Bacterial small subunit ribosomal RNA", at positions 524 to 776 of the family's 1533-position model. The record is from RNAcentral.
UACAGAGGGUGCGAGCGUUGUUCGGAAUCAUUGGGCGUAAAGCGCUUGUAGGCGGCCUGUCAAGUCGCGUGUGAAAUCCCCUGGCUUAACCAGGGAAGUGCGCGCGAAACUGGCGGGCUUGAGUGCCGGAGAGGGUCGCGGAAUUCCCGGUGUAGAGGUGAAAUUCGUAGAUAUCGGGAGGAACACCAGUGGCGAAGGCGGCGACCUGGACGGACACUGACGCUGAGGUGCGAAAGCGUGGGGAGCAAACAGG